UCUUCUCUUAUAUAUUCUGAUAUAUUCAUUAUUUAUAUUCCUAUAUUGACUAUUACUACUACAACUCCUCUUCUUCUCUCUAUCUUCCUAUUUCUUAUACUACUUGUGCAAGAUAGAUUCCUGAUUUACAGAGAAGCCUUUGCUAGUUCCCCGAGAGUAAGCCUUAGGGUCGAAGCGAACUGAAUAAAGCUACCCACUUAUUGAAUGCUUGGAUCACAAUAAACAGAAUCAAGCUAUUAAGGGGGAAAUCUGGUUGCUAUCAGCCAAGCAACGGAUAGACAAGCAUACAAUCCGUUUCAAAGCACUUGUCGCCUUGGCGGUCAUGAGUAUACGCUUGCCGGAUUGAUACGAUCGAGCAGUAGGGCCAGGACGAGAUACUCCACUUGAGACUUCUCUUGCAACAACUGCUUACGGCGAACUCAACUCAACAGGCAGUACUUAGCGCUUCAGUCAAGUUAACCAAUCAUUUCCAUAUUCUCUCUUGCGCAGAAGAUCUGAUAACUCCGUUGUAAGCAGAAGUCAAACUGAUUCAAUGGGCAUUGCUUUUUCUCUUGUGGACUUCUCUUCUUGAACUAUACUUGUGGAUUCUCCGGAUCUUGAUACUGUUGCAUAUCCUAUUCCUACUUAUCUACUAUACUCUAUUAUUUCUACGGUUCCUUGUCCUUGCGCAGGAGCAAGCCAAGUUAUAGGAAAAGCAGCUAGCAAGCCAAGAAGUUAUACGAAAAGUGCUGGGCGCUAAGGAGAGUUAUCGUCGGCCAGGCCAGGGUAAUCCAAUCAAUUAGGGAAAGUCUCAUUGAAGAAAAGAAUCUGAUGACAACCAAUAGAAUAGAUUAACCUAGCCCAACAAGCGGAACUAGAAUAAGCACUAGGAAGUAAGAGAGAGCAUGAAACUAGAAUAAGCACCAGUAAGUAAGAGCAUUAAACGCGUCGUUGCUUCCUCACUCCGAACUCUUAUUAUCCCUUAUCUAAUUCUCAUUGCUUACCCCAAAACUCUCUAACGUAAGCACGAGUUCUUUAGCCUUAUUGUCUUUGCACCAGUUCUUUAGCCUUAUUGUCUUUGCUUUGCUUCCUAUAGCGCCGUUACUUGUUCUUGCGCUGGCAAACACUCACGUUAGAACUUGAGCUUCUCUUUUGGAACUUGCUUGUUCCGUAGCUUGUUGACUUCUCAUCUGUCACUCUACUGAAGUACAACUCAUCUGUCACUCUACUGAAGUACAACUCGGUUAACUUCGACUAAACCUCUAGACUAUUCCUCUAUACUUUAUCGCUACGUGGGUCUGGGUCAAUAAGCUUACGCGCAACGGCUAACUCAACUAACUCGUAUUCUUUACAAGGAAUUAGAGCGGGACAAUCAGUUUCACAAGGCUAAGCAGCGGUCGACCACUACUCGGGAAAGCCAAGUCCUUGAAGCACUAAGACAAAGGUAAAGCAAUCCAAUAACUCCACUUUCAAUUGCUGCUUCAUCUGAUCCAGCAUCCUCCAUGGAAACUGCUCUAACAGCUUACUUGAGAUUUGAUUCUUCCUCGAACCCAACAAACUAGAACUAAUUGAGACUGACGCGCUACACACCUGUUUUGUUAUGACUUUCCUGUUAGUAUACGCUUGUAACGCUCUGCUUGUUUCCUCUCUUUGUCCGUUAGUAUACGCUUGGCGCGGCAAGCAGUCCACUGAUUAUUGUAGUAUCGGUCCCUUCCUCUCCUUUCUUUAGAGUGACUUUAGACCUGCCCUAAUAGAAUGUGAGGCCUAAGGUAUCCCUACUGCUAGUAAUGAGAUGAGAGUAUUCCCUGGGGCCAAGCUUAGUUGUUAGUUGCGCUAAGGAGCGGUUGUAGCAAAGGCUCUUUCCUUGCCAUAUUUCCCUGUUUUCUCUAAUCUACGGGGAUCGCUCUAAAUAGCUUAUGUAAAGUAGAGUGAAAUCCUCCCCCGAUGCUUCCUCUUGUCCAAUGAAAGCUUCUUCUUAACCUCUUCCAACUCGGGCAAUCUGAUCAACCCCGGCGUUCCCUUAGCUUAUGUGCUUGCAGUCUUCCAUAGAGGUGUACGGGGAAGGAGGUGAAAACGAAUCACCAUUACACUAGUACCCGUAGUGCCCCACCUCGACUUAUUGACUAAGAUAUAAGGGCACCGGAACCUCUCUUCUCUCCACUUGUUCUUGCCCCCUGUAACUUGGACUCGGUAACAACUGACGCUGACGAAGACGACGAGCGGAGGGGCUUCAACUGUGUUCGUACACCUGUUUUCGUUCCUUUGUUCGUCUGCCUUCCUCAAUUCCAUUGUCAGCAACAAGUGGUUUCAGCUCUUUGGGUACGAAGUUCAGUCUAGUGCUGUGUCUUUACAAAGAAAGGGGUCUAUACCACAUGCUUGCUCUCUAUAUUCCAUUCAGUAUUAGUGGGGGAGUUGGGUCAGAAUCAAAUCUCAAGUAAUCCGUGAAGUCGACCAGAGAAUCCAAAGUAGCAUCAGUAGUUGGUCAGCAACAGGAUCAUAAUAUGGAGCAAGGAUCUUUAUAAGAAGCUAUAUCCGGAGUAGGAACAGAAGAAACUGGAUAAGAUUAAGGAGUUGGCUUACCAGAAUAAAGGCAAGAGAAGGAUCUGAAUCUAAAGCUGGAUCUGGAAGGGAAAUAUAGGCUCAAGUCAACCAGAUAUAGAGUCCACUGAAAUGGGUUCGGGCAAGUUCAAUGACUGUUUUAGCGCGAGAAGGGCCAAGCGACUACUCAAGUAAAGUUCCCCAUUCUAUUCUUUUAUAGUAGGUUGCUUUCUCUGGACCUAUGCUUACCGGUGGAGGAACGGGUCUUAUGCCUACUAGUUAGUGAUUGCACUCCCAAGUUCAAUUCUGUGGAUUGUCCCUAUCAUUCGCGCUUCAUUACCUCCGAUCCGAUACCCGAUUCUUUGACUUUGUAGCUCAACUCCCUAUUCCUUGUUCGAUUCUCCCCACUCCCAUACGUUAAUGGACUAAACUCGGAACACGGAUAAACAAGCAUGAAUCUCGGAACUAAGCCUUUCGCUAGUGCUUUCAAGACUCGAACCGGGGCUAAUGGGGCUUACCCCACAGACAAGGGAAUCUAUCUGCUGACAAACAGACCUGUCCUGGCGCUUCUCAUACUUAUACUAGAAACUGGGAAUCGAGCUAUUGCCUUUAAGACUAGAAGAGCUACUGCAUUGGAUCUAGCGUCAAACUACCUCUCCUUGUACCAACUCUGGAUUGUUAAUGAAAGAGUAUACACCUAUUACAUAUAAUACAGAUUGAAAUCAAUGAGAAGAGAAAAAGAUUGGAACACUGUCCCCAUACGCUGAAACCGCUAUUAUCAUACUUAUGGAAUCAAUAAGGGAAUCAAAUAAGAACUAAAGUAAUACAGAAAUGAACUAUAGGACAUACACAAAUAGAACUCCUAAAGUAAGGCUCGAACUCGCAACUAGCUCUCUCGGGCAUACAAGGGUCGAACAAGGGUAUACAAGAAAGGCUGCUACUACUUAUAGAAUCCAACUAGCACCAACACAAGACUUACGCCUUAACACAUCCAAUCCAACUAUCAACUGCAGAACUCAACACUGCACUGGCAAUUCCACUCAUAAGUAAAGAAUGAGAAGCUACCAAGUAAAGCUCUCACUCUCACUAAAUAAUGGGGUCAAGUAAUAGGAGACUUAAGGCAAGGUAGUUAGCCGAGUUUCCAGUAGUUCCAAUCUACAUUAUGUAAGAUCAAGUAUGAGAAGGCACAGUUCAGGCCCUAUCAGUAGUCGCUUUAGUCUAAUAGUCUGAUUGAAGAUCUUAUCAAUAGUAGUUGUAGCCUUCUUUCUUAGUACAAGUCCCUUAGUGCACUGAUCCAUUCCCAGCUCCGAGUUUAAUGUCCCUGUAAAAGGUAGAGCUGUGGUUUGCUCCAAUUACUAUAAGCAAAUACUAGAGCUGCUCCUAUUACUAGAAUCAAAUACUAGGUAAAUAACCCUGUGACUAUAAUAAACUAACUCGCUAAUAGAGUAUAAGAUAAUAUAAGAUCAUGUUUGAACAAGCCAAUCAGAAGCUAUGCAGUAUCUCGGCUCGGGGAAGAAGAUAUAUAAAGUCAUUCCGGAAUAGUAGGGCUAUUAGCAAGUUCUUAAAAUGGAGUGGAUUGGCUUUCCUGAGCCUGAUGCUUGGGUGUUACAGAACCCAAUCAGUGAGUUACAGGCUGCAGCUGGGUAGUUAGGGAAUAGAGCCAGUGCUAGGCAGGCUUCAACACGGUUAGAAGAUACAAGCUACUACUGGGUGCUCUAAGGCAUACAUACACUUACUAGUGCUAGCUCCCGAGCACAUAGAUAGUUUCAUCCCUUGUUUGAUCUGGAAUCCUUAAUAAAGAUAGAGAAAAUGAACCACUCGCCAAGUAACUACAAAUGUGUGUGACGAGUAAGAACAAACAAACAAGGGCUGGGCGCCAGAGAGAAUAAAUGAGUCCUGGAGUCUAGGGUUAAGAAAAGAAGCAAGCAAUAUAGAAGCAAUGGGUUUAGUUUACUUUCAUUAUAUGCGAGAGAACAAGCAACGUAUUAGAAUGUUGCACUCACUGAGCUCUGGGGGGCAAAUAGAUGAGUUCGGGUCUCUCUUUCUGUCCUUCUCAAGCACGUAAGCUUACUCUUAUCGGGCUGCCUAGCGGAGUUCAAUAUGUAUGCAGUGUUUAGAGAGUCUUUCUUUUGACUCAAUUCCAUACUAUGAACGCUACAUGAUUUAAGCUACGGGAAUUCACAAAAGCACAAACAAGGGCUUCUCUGUACUGAAGUAGUAAACAAGCAACGGAACAAGAAGUUUCAUGCUCCAACUACACUCACUUAAUCCAAAUAGGCUUUCUAAACAAGCACUUUAGCAGCGACUUACGCUCGCACAAGCACUUAUACUUCUGGGGAACUCUACAUUCAUCUGGAAACUAUCCUUUCCACUUUCCUUCCUGCUUCGUCGACAACAAAUCAUCUUGUUCCUGAGCCUGCUGUUGAUUCUCUUGUUGACUUGAAAGCAGUUUCUCCAGCUUAUAAAACGGAUCUUGUUCCUACCCCAACUCAAAAGUGAGAAUGGAAAUGAUAUCUUUUACCCGAGCCCUGUAAAGAAGGAUGGAAAUACCCAGCUACCGAUCCCAAUAGAGUAUUAGUAUAUGCGCUCUCAAGAAGAAAUUCCACAAUUCAUUAUUUGUUGCUCUAAGGGAAUAAAGUCUUGUAUGGAAUAGAGGGUAACGGGUCAUUAGAGAAUCAGAGGUGUGUUGGCUGAAGAAGGCUAUUCUCUAAGUAAGGGAAGGCGCCGGAUUGAAAGUGCAAACCCAUGUGAAACUCAACUUCGAGUAAAGAACUGUGGAACUAGUAUUUGAAAGAGAAGCUAGAGCGGGACAAUCACCGAACCUAGACUUUACUCACACAAGGACUCAUCCUUAAGAAGGCUAUCCAUAUAUAUAAAGUAAGGGAUAACAUUGAGAUGAAAUUCAUUAUUGGAAUUAUGGGGUUUCCUCUGCGCCGAGGACUCCUUUUGAGGCGGGCUAUCAUGUCCAGCGCUAAGUAUGGAAAGUUCCUGUUCUAGUUGUUGGCGAUGAGUCUCCUUCUUUUCUUGUUAAGUCUUAGAGAUAAUAUGCGGGAUCAGACUCUGUAUCAAGUGAAGAAACAGAAGAAUAGGGUUGUGAACUAGAGAAUAGGGUUUAGCUAGGUAUAAUAGAAGAAGGUAACUGCCCAGAAUAAGGGGUUACUAAGCCACCUAAAGAAGGUCACUCACCCACCUAACAUACUAAAGCGAGAAAGGAUCAAUUCAUGUUUUCCUUGACUCGGCACAAGAAGAUGAAGUAGAACAAGUAUAAGGUAGAUCACCAUCAGCAACAAGUGGUUUGCCAGGAAUAUUGGCGGGUCUUUGAACAGGUUGAUUCUCAAGUAGAUGAUAAGCCCGUAUCAAGCCUACCAUCUCUCUCUCAUGAAAGUGUUUCCAUACCGUCUCCGAAAGACAGAAAGAAAUAGAUUCCAUAUCCGUGUGGCCCUGGUUCCUGAUUCCACUGGUUGUAAGGCAAUAUGCUGGGUCAGAAGGAAGAGCAAGAGCAAACAUCAUCUUAUCUGGGCUCUUCUCUGGAUCUUUAUUCGGCAGCUGCCAGUAUUAGACUGCCCUUGCUUUUGUUCCCCGAACUCAAUAAGAAAGUCAAGGUGUUUAUUCCCUGUGCAAGAUAAUCCAUUAAUGUUUUCCUCAGUGCAAGAAUGAGGGUAGCCGAAAACUUGCCCAAUAAGACGCCUCAGUGCGGGUAAAGGAAGGGAUUGGUUUCAAUUCAUGUUUGACAGUUUUCCCUUGACAACUUCAUAUUUCAAGGCAAGAAAGAAACAAGUUUAGUGCACAAAAGGUAAAGUUUCAUAAUUAUAUGUUGGCAGUUCCAGUUUAGGGUCAAUUCGUUCUUCGGCGCAAAGAGAUUUGAAAGUUUCUGUUCGAGUGUCGGUAAGUAAAUCAGGUGUGAAAGUAUAAGUUGAAGUUGGAAUAGCUAGAAGAGACUCUGUUCUGAGGCGAAAAUGUAUUUAUACAGCCUUUCUGAGGUCAACAUAGGGAAUUAGCCAUAAUCAAAGUUUCCCAUAGGUUCCACUUAGAAAAAAGGGGCAACUAUUGGAUUGGGGUGCUGUGCCGCUAGAGCUCAAAGUAGUGUAGUUGGAGUUAUCAGAGAGAAAAGAGCUUCUGCGCUCGAGAGAACAAGUAGCGUCUCUUGCUACUAAGUGUGUUAGGAAGAGGGAGUUUGAAGCGUUAAGUAUUGCCCGAAACUAGUGCAUCAGUUCAAUCAGUUCAAUUAACAGUUUAAUAAGCUUUAUUGGGAUAAGCAGCUGUAGAAUAGACAAGAGAAAAAGCAGUGCCCAUUGAAUAAACAUGAUCGGGAUCGGAAGAAAAUCCUUCUCACGUGCUAAGUCAAUCAGUGUCAGAGUAUCAAGAAUAAUAAAGAGGCAAAAGUCAGCGGAACAAGAAGGAAGAACACUAUGAAAUAACCCUUACUUAAUCGACCCGACCCCUUAACGAGGCAAAACUCACCCAUAUCCGACACAAGAACAGAAAGAGACUUUUUCACAGGCAAGUAACUACUAACGACCAAGCAACUAAGCAAGACGUUGGGCGGUAGCCAUGAAUAACGAGUUAUAACGAAUUAUUACUAAGUCUUGUGUUCUAGCGGCAGGAAGUUUACCGGGAUAAAAGGUGAGGGUAGAAAGGAAAGGACCUGUAUAGGAGUGAGUGAAGUCGACAAUAGAAUCAGCAGCACGGCAAGUCAGGAUAUCAUGCAAGCGAAGCGGUCAGUUCCGUUUCAAUACGAGUGCACCCUUUUGCUCGAACACUUAUGUAAUUCCAUAAAGUCAGCUACUACGCGGGAUAAGAAUAAGAGUCUGAGGUGCCCGCUCCUUCUACUAGUUGGAAAGUUGAUGUUUCAUCGUUAAGAGAGUCUCUUUGCUUUGCGGCAGAUAUAUAAGUAGCCCACUACAAGACAAGGUUUCAAGAGGGUAAAGGCCAUGCAGGAAGGAAAGAUGUUGGCACCGAGCGGUUUGGUUCUUAACUUCAAAGAUAGGUGUGAUUGAUUGGCUUUUCCCCUGAGUUUCAUCGUAUAAAUAAGCGGGAUCCGGAAUAGAAGUAGGAUAUGGAUCUGGAUCUCAAGUGAUAUAUGAAGCUGUAUCCAUGCAAAGAGAGUAAGGAAUUCCAUAGAUAGGCCUUAAGUUGAAGCGCUUCGUGUAGUUCUUUUUUCAAGAUCAAGAUCACCAUCAGUGAAUCAAGUUUGGUGUUGGCGCCGGAUCAGACAAGGAACUUCCAGUGAUUUUCCAGAUUCCAGUCGAGUUCCAGUUCUUGUUUAGAGAGAUGCUUCUUCAGUUGAGUUUGCCGGAUCAAGACUUAGUGCUAUAAUGCUUACUUCGAGAAUAACCCUCUUUAAUCAAUAGGAAUAUAAGAUUUCUUAAUAGUAGGUAGUUUGAUCACUUUAUUGCCGAACGAUAGACUCUCGUAUAGAAUUAUUUCCCUUGUGAACUCCCGUUAGUUGAAGACAGGACAGGAAUACUAUGAAUUAUGUCGUUAGCUUACUGUUUCUCUUACGGAGGGGAGGGGUUCAGUCAAUAAAAAGCUAGCCGGGUUAGGCUACGUAAGCACGUAUAAGAGUCCAGUUUUAGGGAGCUCUUGUUGGGGGCUUAAUGGAGUCAUUUUCCAUAAUAUGAGUUGACCCCGCGACUCGAAAGAAAGGCUCCGGUCUCUUGUUAAGGGAGUUCGGAUAGCCCAUGUAAUGUAGCGGUUAAUGCUUGAUCGAGAGACUCCGCAGAUAGACUAACUGUUUGACAAGGGACAACCCCAACUAGAACAAGUGCUCUAAGGCGUAAGUGAGUGACUCAAGCAACAAGUGCUCUAAGGCGUAAGUGAGUUAUUAAAGCGCAUCAGUGGCAGUUCCAUUCUCAAGGGAUUUUGGGUAUUUCCUCAAAUCUAUACAAAGUGGCAACGUCUGCUUCUACAAGUUCCGAGUCAGGAUCAGUUUCAUCAGAGAAUGGAUCUUCAUAAGGUAAAGAACAAGUCCAAGUUGGUGCCCCAACUAGUAAGGCGGAGUUAUUAACAAGUAGGGCUUGACCACGGGCAUACCAUAGAGAAUACGGCUUGGCUACUAGGCUGCUGGCUCUGCUUCCUUCUAUAGAUAGUAAUGAGUUGGCUUCUUCUCAUGGGAUAGUAAUGAGUCGGCUUCUGAUCUGAUCUCUUGGGGGGCUCUGACUGACGCGCAACUAGACUGACGCCGAGCACAUCUUCAGUGAAACCAAGGUUCGAACUUACUACUAGCAUAACCCUUCCUUGAUCCAACUCUAACUAUGCUUGCUUUUAGUCUAACAUUCCUCGCCGUAAAACGGAUAUUACUUACUAUAGCUUUCUCGCUUGUUAGUUAUAGACUUUCACUGCUGUUUCUAAUGCUUUAUCAUACCAGCUUUUGAGCGGAAUUGCUAGUUUCUUUUUUCAACCUUAUAGGUAAGGAGCUACAUUCUUGUAUUCCCAGUCCCAUUCCAUUAGGUAGUAUAGUAAUAGUAGCCUUGGAAGCAGCAGUUCCAUCUUAUAUUCUAGUUUUUAGUUGACGAGCGAAAGUAAAGGUAAAGGUAGCAGGCCUAACCUAAUCCUCUAAUAAGCAAGAAUACUUGUAAGUAGUGCCAGCUUGAAGGCAAAGGGUAAAGGCUUAGUUCCUUUUAUAGUUCGUAGUUGCCGAACAAAGGACUUGUUUCUAACUAGAGAAGAAAGGACUUGUACUGGCUUUGAGACGAGGUCUAAUUGAACUAGCCACUCCGUUAGUGCUUCCUUGCCUGUGUCAUCUGUCUUUGUCGGGUCUGCAAGGAAAACAGUAAGCCCGCUCCUGCCGCGUAACCGGUAACUCCUGUAUUGAACAAAUAUCACUAGUUGACUUACGAGCAAUAGAUAGCGGGUUCAAAAUGCAUUUCUACAUUGGAAUUGGUCAAUAGGCGAGCAGACAAGUAAUUACUAUAAGAAAAGAAUACGAUGAAAGAGAUGAGCUUAUAUAUACACGAUGACAUUUUCAAAGAGCUAGAUGAUCUUCCUUCCUCGGGACAAGAAGUUUAGUAACCAACUUCUCUGGCUUCUGCUUUAGCCUCUUCUUCUACUCUAAGGGAUCUUUACUUCCCGAAUUAUGUAUUAGGCCUUCUCCAACCCUCGCAACUUUACUAGUCAAUUGAAUUCAACGGUAUUCUUACACCUGCACAGAGCACCGAGUUCCGGAAGGUAGAAAACUACUUCAGAGGAUUUACUGGUAUAAAACUACAGAAUCAAACCAGAAGGUAGAAAACGUACGAAUCAAACCGCAACUACUAUUAAGAAAGAGAACCUGUGUCCUGACUUAAUAUCCUCUCUGGCAACUAAUUCUAUUCUUGAGCUUGGCCCCUUCCCUUGCUUUGACAAAAGAAUCAAACUCAAAACUAUUCUGUAAUAAAGUAAUCUCACUGCUGACUUUAAGACAGUACACUGCACAACGGCACAAUAAGUUCAAUGUUCUUUCUUUUAUCACUGACUAUCCCCGAAGUUUUUUCUCACUCCGCUCCGCCACUAAGCUAAUGCGCAAGGGCCUAGUUUCUGAGACUUAUUGAAAGGAAUAACUAGUUUCUGAGACUUAUUGAAAGGAAUCAAAUAAUAGUGUGCACACACCACUUAUAGACUGAAGUAACGAACCCGCAUUGCUUGUUUUGAUAAGUGCCCCCCUAUUCUAUAAUAACGUAAAAACGGAGCAUUACUUGAAAACUCACUGGAUACUAGGCAGACGAUAGACCCUUGCUUUCACCCUAGCCUAUGAAGAUAGACCCUUGGUUGCAACCUAGCCUAUACGGAAAAGAAUCUAUCGUUCACCAAAAAUAGAAGAGAGUAACCAAACCUAUUACUAAAGACACAAACUCUCUCUCACGUUAGCGCCCCGCAACAAUGAGGAUGGGCACCCAGAUAGUCAAAGAAGAGAAUUAAAGCACCUACCCCGGAAGAUAGUAAGCUAACUGUUAACGUUAUAGUUCGGAGCUCACAACACUAAACCCCUUUCUAGGCCCAUAAAGUGAACAUCUUUCUUAUAGAAAUGAGGUAACUUCACACUGCUGACUCAACCCUUUACUUGCUUGUUCGAACGAAAGCCAUUGUUCUUGUUCUUUCUUAAUUCCACUUGCUAAGCUGUGUACUGAAUACGAGUUCCAAAAGCCCGCCAGGCCAGGGAAAAAGUGUUUUUCCGUUUGUACAGUACCCUCUUAUUUGUUUACUUGUUCCGUUGCGCGUUAGCCUAAUUAGUACAAGUCAUUAGGCAAGUGCUCAUUUUUAGCGAGGGGCUCUUUCAACUCCGAGAUGGCUGCAUCAGAGAGCUCCGACAUCGUCUUUUACUGUGGUAGGCGGUUUCAAUGGUCGUUGGCCUUCUAUCUACGUGAUGCCUGACUCUCGUCCAUGCUCAUCCGUCAGAUCAUCCGAAUCUAAGAGACAGAAAGCACCAGAUAUCUCUUCCAAUACGAUUCGUCACGUGCUAUUCAAUGACCAGGCCAAGCGUAUACUAAGUGCCAGUUCCAUUCCGUUUUUAAGGAAGAAGAGAAGCUACUGUCUGCCGGGGAGUAGUAGAACCCUAGUGUUCAGCAAGUAGUCAAUUCCAUUCUAUAGUUUCCUUUCCUUUUGAAGCGCGGUCUACUUAUUACUUUCGACUUUGUACGAGCAAGUAUUGUAGGGGAGCGGAAGACAAGCGUAUACUAAACGAGAUCGUACCUAAUGCUACUUACAUUGCAUUCUGAUAUUGAAUAGUGGAAUUCUUAGGAAGGAAACUGGAGUCUCUAUUUGCUAACAGCCAAGUCGACAACACAGAAGAAAAUAAGGUAGUGAAAGGCCAAGCAACUAAGUAAGACGGCCAAGCGUAUACUAACUACUAAAAUCGAGCUGCUACUGAUGAGAAUGAAAAUGGGGAGUCAAGAAUCAAACUCCGGAUUAAGUCCUGGGCUCCAGUUGCAUUCUUAAAUGACUUACCGCAACGAAGACAUCUCUUGACUGAAGUACUUAUAGCUUCAAAGCCUCUCUUCUUGAUACAACUACUUAUGAAACUACGAAACUACUAUGGCUACAACUACUUAUGAAACUACGAAACUACUAGUUAGCAUUACUACUCUACUACAAGGAAGGUAUUCCACUCGCCAACAACAGGCUCUGCUCUGUCAACUAUUCACUUAAUUCGGCUAAUCUCACUCUGGCAACAAUGCAUUUUACCCUGUCUCCCGCACCCACCUCUCCUAUUGCUAAAAAGACAUAUGAAACAGGACUACUCGUAUACUGGUUUGGUAUUCAACUCACACCAUUUACUUCAGGGCUAGCUUCUGUACUUGAUGACUGGAACAAGACUGGAAUUGCUAUCAGCCAAGUCACGACUAGAACUAUCACUGGGCCAACAUAACUAAACUUCCUACUUAAAGAACUCUCCGGGCCAAGCAAUCACUGGGUCGGUCAGGUCAGGACUAGAAUAGCUCUCUCCUCUUGCUACUAGCUAAUAUCUAUCCUAUCCUUUGUACUCUGGACUACUCCGACUACUCUACUGGUUGGGGAUUCCACUUCACCAAAACCCGUGUUUUUUCAUAGCAUUAGCUUUUCCCCUCCUGAGGUAUCAGAUUGAUAUUACAAUUUCACGUUUUCCCGUGUUUUUUCAUAGCAAUUAGUAUAAAGUAGUUGACUCGACCUCUGCUCAGGCUACUCAUACUGAUUCCACUGGACCAGACCUAUACUUGAAGACGAAGGAAAAGGAUCAUUUCUCUAUCUUGCCUAGCACAACUUACAAUAAGGGCCUCUGCUUGAGUUUCAUUCCUUCGAUUAAGCUUAUGGCUCUUCCUUUCUUCCCUUAGUACUGGCACUGCUCCUACUGUUUGGGAAUCAUAUUUCUAUUCUUUACCUACUGAGGAUAUCCCGAUCUCGGCACCAAUACCAGAAUUCGGUUCGGCUCCUAGGCAACUGCCAAGCGUAUACUAGAUUCAGAAGAUGGGUAAUAUUAGUUCAAUUCCAACUUUCCUACUUGAGAGACUACUUAGUUCCAUUCUGACUUGCUGAAUGAGGCUCUCCACUAGGAGCUAUAAGGGCCUCUCUACUUCCUCUUUGAACUCUGGUAUUUGAUUGAACUCCUAACUCAGUAGUAAUAGAGACAAGCUAUGUAGAAAGGUAGAAAACAGAGCUAGUGUUCGUCUUUUCCAAUAGGCUAAACUCAGUAUUUAUCGCUUCCUCGCCUCUCCUCUCCUCUUUCUUUACUACUUUAGAGUCGAGGUCGGGGUUCACUCAAAGGUUUUAGGACUUGGUGCCUACUUGUUCUGUGUUUUAAGAAUUCCGUACUUAUGAACAAUAACAGGUGAUGAAACUACAUAUGAAGGGGAUUCCACUCGGGGAAGGUUUUUCGCUCGCUACCGCCCAGAAGACAGUUAAGCUCCUUAAGCUAGUGUUCGCUCUGUAAACUAGGGAUGACUUUCUCACUGCCUCCACUGCCUCUGCAAGUACAACAUCUGCCUCUGGUAAAGCACCAAACCCAUCUAUACCUGUGACUACCUGGACUACCGGGAUGGGAUGAAACAACAAAAGUAAGCCUAUCACUUCUACUACUCGGCUCGGUGUUGCCUUAGCCUUUGAACUCUCUCUUCUUGAUCACCCUGAGCGAGGUAAAGUACCAAUUACUUGAGUUUACAGCCCAAACAAGUAGGAGCCCUGGUUGACAGCCCAAACAAGUAUACGAGUAGUUUCAUCCGUAGUAGUAGCCAGAGAAGAUCCGAUUGCGUUUUCCCGUGUUUUUUCAUAGCAACCCCGAUUUCCCUCCUAACGAGGUCCAAAAGAAUCUUAUCUUUGCGGGAACUCCUGCCGCUCUAGAUUAGGACUCCGGAAUAACGAGUUAUAAUACAUUUAUUCAUUGCUAUGGUUUUGUAGUAGUUACUUGGCCCUUUCUGAAUCGCCAAAACCUUACUUUUGAACCAGAGCAGUACUAUCGUUCUUAAGACAAACACUUGAGCAGGACUUAUAGUCAUUUUCUUCCACUCACACAUGAGCAGUAAGAGAAUGGAUUGAAUCUCUCUCCCAUUGCACAACUAGGUUAGUCUCAUAUGAGUGCAAUUCCUCCUUGCUUAACUCUUAUCCCAACUCAGUUCCAUUCUUCCCUGUUUAAAGAGCUCACCAGCCUUACACCCACUAGUGGAAUUCUGAGCCUACUUAGUGUCAUUCUUACUCUGUCUGCCACUUGUCCACUCUUGAACUCCCUCUGGCAGUCUUAGCCCCUACCUUAACAACUCUAACUCUUCACCCCCGCAUUCAAAGCCUGUAACUACCUUAGCAACUGGGGUAUUUCUACUUAAGCCUGUAACUACAGCUGCAGGGAACUGAUUAGCAGUGGUUGUAGUCUUUCACUCCUUAGUUCCCGAACACAGCACUUGGGCAUAUGAGUGUCAUUCUUUAACAAGCAUCUGGGGAUCAGUGGUAUUGGUUAAGGCUUGGAAGCACUGGUUUUAGUCUGUAACUACUGAUUGUUAGGCUUACUACCCUUACUUUCAGGCUUGGACCUCCCUGGGUUCAUCCUUUCUUCAUAGCCUUCCUUCUACUUACUAGUGUCGUCAACAAAAACCUUUCUUUCUGCUUGCUUUCGAUCGAUCAACAAAUCAUUCAUUUCUCACUCCUUCCGUACUCUCCAACGGAUCUCCUACUGCCAACUGAUAUCCGGUCUGAAACUCAGUAUUCCACUAGCAACUAUCAACUACUGGCAAAGAAUGAGAAACUGGGGAUUCAACUAGAGCACCGAACUCAUCUCCACGACAAGAAGAAUGGAAUCGAUGCUAGCAAUACCCUAACUGGAAACUGGCAAUACUGACUUUAUGGACUCGAUACUAUAACUAGAGACUUUAUGGCUACAAUACCUAUGGCAACUUGAAACUAUGAACUUCAUUCCGCUAAUCUCACUCUUUCUACUAUACCUCCUGUAAACUCAUACUGAUGAAACUACUAUACUACACCUCUGGCUCAUCUAACUAUGGUAACUCUACCGACUUAAUAGUUGGGCAACUAUCCCUCUUGCUCAUCCCAUGGCCUGUGUGCGCCUUUCCCUUAUUCUUAUUAGUUUCUCAGACCAGACCGGUAACUCUGGCUAAUAGACCCCUGUGGCUCUGUCAACUAAUCCUGUUAUGGCUCUGGACUCUGGACUACCUUACCCUCCCUUAGAGAAGUCUGAUUCUUUGCAUAAUAAGAAUGGAACUGUGGUGUUUACAAGACUUUACCUCACUAACCGGGUAUAAGGCUACUGAUAAAAGGAAUUGAGCAAGUGCUUAUAAUAACUACCUUACUAUAUGAGAAUUAGAUUACUUUGUAACGAAUGAAAACUGCGCUACUAACAAGCUACUACUACUAUAAUAAUGAAAUACAACUAGAAUAAUCCAAAAAUAGCAUAGGAAUGAUUGUUGUGGGCGCUGAGUCAUAAAUCCACUAGUAAUACUGAGUACACCUACCUCUAACUGGGCUUUAACUCAAAACAGGUAAAUCUAACUGAUUGGUAUAAGCAUACAGGAUGUAGGUACGAUCUAGUGCAUAUGGAUAUAAGUUUGCUAACCCUCGCUUCAUUCCAUAUUUCAUGUUAUUAAUUGAUUAUUAAGUUCACGUAUAGAAUAUUCUCUUCUACAUUAUUAGGGAAAUGUGGUCUCAAAAAGGCGAGUGGUUUUCUAUUCCAUUGAGAACUGUUGUUUCGGGUGUGAAGUAAACAUCACUCUAGGCAUUAGAGACAGAAGCCGGGAUCCCACUAGUGUUUCUAAAGCUUUAACCCACUAGCAAGACUACACGAUAUGCGGGCUUCACCACCUGAAAUACAGGCUUAAUCACCUAUUGAAAAGACGGAAAUGGGGGCGACCAUCAGAAUGAAACCACAAACAUAGGCUUCAACUAACCCGCAACUCAGAAUGAUAUAAUAACCCUAGCAAACCCAACUAGCAACCCAGACUUAAGGACCUACCUCGCAACCCAU
RNAcentral lists this long non-coding RNA (15433 nucleotides) under Musa acuminata (dwarf banana). RNAcentral's name for it is "long non-coding RNA (MACU_LNC009109)". The record is from RNAcentral. Lineage: Eukaryota; Viridiplantae; Streptophyta; Magnoliopsida; Zingiberales; Musaceae.